CACAUCUUUCCUACAUAGCCUAAAACGAAAUCCUCUUUCCCAUUCACGCUUUCACAGAGACACAUGUUGCUCUUGCUUCUCCCCUUGCCCGAUCCCCUUUCUCACUCCAAAAUUUAUGCCGCCGGUAGCUCCCAUCAACUUGAUUCCUUGAUUCCCUGCCUUGAGCUUGCUCGUCCUCACCUGCAGCCACCCCCGCAGCUCGAUUCGCUGGUGCUGCCACAUGGUGACCUUCGACGGCGGCUGAUUUUUCUCCUCGUACGCCUCCUCGGCCUCCUCCUAGGCUGGUAAAUGGCAAUAGAGGGGUAGCAGUGCCCAAGGUGUAGCUGUUCAAGGGAGGAGGCGAGAUCAAUCUGCACUGUGUUGUUGCUGUCAAUAUCCGUGUAGGUGAUGUUGGCGUGGAUUUCGUCUCCCGCGCCUGAUUUGAUCCAUCUUUAGUAUGAGGAUGGUGUAGACGUUUUCUGCCCCUAGAGCGCCCGCCAGACACUUCCUCCACAUCGGCAACAUUCUUCGAAGUUUGAAGUGUGUUGCCCUACAGCAAGAAAUAAGGAGGUACAUGAACUGGGAAUGAUUGGACGUGGGGAGAGAAAAGAAAUGUUACCUUGUUAUUUGCCGGAAAGAGUGGUAAAGCUCCAGCCUCUAGGUCAAUAUCGUCCUUGAUGAAGAGGUCGAAUUCUGGCCACUUGCAGGGUCUGUAUGGUGUGUAUCUCAAGUCUCAACUCUCACCUGGUUGGUCUUCUGAUCUCUUUCUAGCUGGCUGACAGUGGGCAUGCAACAACUCUAUUCACCUGAAGUUGCUGGCGUGCAUGAAGGAUAGGCUUUGAGACCAUCAAUCGUAUGUAACCUGCUAAUCUGCUGACUUGAGGCGCAUGAUGUAUGAUAACAUGCUGAUCUGUUGAGUUGAGAUGCAUGAUGCAUGGCCACCGAGACAUAUAUUGUACAUUCAAAGAGGGAGAAUUCCGGCAGCUAGAAAUCUGGACCUGGAAAAGCUACGUCAGGUUACCUAUUUUGCACAACUCUAAACAAGCUGAAACUUCACGGAGAUUUUUUAUGGAAUAAUUAAGGAAUAAUGGAGCAAAUUACUACCAGAGAGGGCCCACCAGGUGGGCACAACCCACCUGGGCGCGCCAGGGAGCCCAAGCGUGCCCUGGUGGGUUGUGCUCACCCAGGCCCACCUCCGGUGCCCAUCUUCUGGUAUAUAGGGGACUUUCGGGACG
This is a long non-coding RNA of Triticum dicoccoides, 1214 nucleotides long. RefSeq lists it as uncharacterized. NCBI's taxonomy places the organism in Eukaryota, Viridiplantae, Streptophyta, Magnoliopsida, Poales, Poaceae. The record is from RefSeq and is a predicted model, not a curated record. The transcript is spliced from 3 exons.